RNAcentral lists this ribosomal RNA (452 nucleotides) under uncultured bacterium. Its description in RNAcentral is "bacterial SSU rRNA". It matches the Rfam family "Bacterial small subunit ribosomal RNA", at positions 340 to 786 of the family's 1533-position model. The record is from RNAcentral.
UACGGAAGGCAGCAGUGGGGAAUAUUGCACAAUGGGCGCAAGCCUGAUGCAGCCAUGCCGCGUGUAUGAAGAAGGCCUUCGGGUUGUAAAGUACUUUCAGUCGUGAGGAAGGUGUUAAGGUUAAUAACCUUAGCAAUUGACGUUAGCGACAGAAGAAGCACCGGCUAACUCCGUGCCAGCAGCCGCGGUAAUACGGAGGGUGCGAGCGUUAAUCGGAAUUACUGGGCGUAAAGGGCACGCAGGCGGUUAAUUAAGUUGGAUGUGAAAUCCCCGGGCUUAACCUGGGAAUGGCAUUCAAGACUGGUUAGCUAGAGUCUUGUAGAGGGGGUAGAAUUCCAUGUGUAGCGGUGAAAUGCGUAGAGAUGUGGAGGAAUACCGGUGGCGAAGGCGGCCCCUGGACAAAGACUGACGCUCAUGUGCGAAGCGUGGGGAGCAAACAGGGAUUAGAUACC